Molecule: non-coding RNA, 45 nt
Filed under: Schistosoma mattheei
Lineage: Eukaryota; Metazoa; Platyhelminthes; Trematoda; Strigeidida; Schistosomatidae
Source: RNAcentral
GCACUGCUGAAGAGUCCCACAGUAGACGAAAUGGCCGUCCAGUGC